Molecule: transfer RNA, 85 nt
Filed under: Streptomyces cinereoruber
Lineage: Bacteria; Bacillati; Actinomycetota; Actinomycetes; Kitasatosporales; Streptomycetaceae
Description: tRNA-Gly
Source: RNAcentral
CCGCUGGUGGCCGGUUCCGGGGUGCGGUUCCGUCCGCUGCCGGUGGACCCCCGGGCCGAACUGCGUUCCGAGCGGGGCCGACGGC